CAGGGAAUCUUCGGCAAUGGACGAAAGUCUGACCGAGCAACGCCGCGUGAGUGAAGAAGGUUUUCGGAUCGUAAAACUCUGUUGUUAGAGAAGAACAAGGACGUUAGUAACUGAACGUCCCCUGACGGUAUCUAACCAGAAAGCCACGGCUAACUACGUGCCAGCAGCCGCGGUAAUACGUAGGUGGCAAGCGUUGUCCGGAUUUAUUGGGCGUAAAGCGAGCGCAGGCGGUUUCUUAAGUCUGAUGUGAAAGCCCCCGGCUCAACCGGGGAGGGUCAGUUGCAACGGGGAGACUUGAGUGCAGAAGAGGAGAGUGGAAUUCCAUGUGUAGCGGUGACAUGCGUAGAUAUAUGGAGGAACACCAGUGGCGAAGGCGGCUCGCUGGUCUGUAACUGACGCUGAGGCUCGAAAGCGUGGGGAGCAAACAGG
RNAcentral lists this ribosomal RNA (429 nucleotides) under Gemmatimonadota bacterium. RNAcentral describes it as "Gemmatimonadetes bacterium partial 16S ribosomal RNA". It matches the Rfam family "Bacterial small subunit ribosomal RNA", at positions 355 to 776 of the family's 1533-position model. The record is from RNAcentral. Lineage: Bacteria; Pseudomonadati; Gemmatimonadota.